RNAcentral lists this long non-coding RNA (310 nucleotides) under Homo sapiens (human). RNAcentral's name for it is "HSALNT0333514". Lineage: Eukaryota; Metazoa; Chordata; Mammalia; Primates; Hominidae. The record is from RNAcentral.
GGGGUGGCUCAUGCCUGUAAUCCCAGCACUUUGGGGGGCUGAAGCUGGUGGAUCACCUGAGGUCAGGAGUUUGAGACCAGCCUGGCCAACAUGGAGAAACCCCCAUUUCCACUAAAAAUACGAAAUUAGCUGGGCAUAGUGGCACACGCCUGUAAUCCCAGCUACUCGGGAGGCUGAAGCAGAAGAAUCGCUUGAACCCGGGAGGCGGAGGUUGUGGUGAGCCAAGAUCGCGCCAUUACACUCUAGCCUGGGCAACAAAAGUGAAAUUCUGUCUCAACAACAAAAAAAAAAAAAAAAAAAAAGGAAAAGC